UGGGGAAUAUUGGACAAUGGGCGAAAGCCUGAUCCAGCCAUGCCGCGAGUGUGAAGAAGGUCUUCGGAUUGUAAAGCACUUUAAGAUGGGAGGAAGGGCAGUAAGCGAAUACCUUGCUGUUUUGACGUUACCGACAGAAUAAGCACAGGCUAACUCUGUGCCAGCAGCAGCGGUAAUACAGAGGGUGCAAGCGUUAAUCGGAAUUACUGGGCGUAAAGCGAGCGUAGGUGGUUCGUUAAGUUUAAUGUGAAAGCCACGGGCUCAACCUGGGAACUUCAUCCAAAACUGGCGAUCUAGGUUAGUGCAGAGCGUGUUGGAAUUUCCUGUGUAGCGGUGAAGUGCGUAGAUAUAGGAAGUAACACCAGUAGCGUGGGCGACCACCUGGGCUCAUACUGACACUGAGGUGCGAAAGCGAGGGGAGCAAACAGG
RNAcentral lists this ribosomal RNA (429 nucleotides) under Pseudomonadota bacterium. RNAcentral describes it as "Proteobacteria bacterium partial 16S ribosomal RNA". It matches the Rfam family "Bacterial small subunit ribosomal RNA", at positions 355 to 776 of the family's 1533-position model. Lineage: Bacteria; Pseudomonadati; Pseudomonadota. The record is from RNAcentral.